GUGAAGAAAUAACUUACAAAAACAUUUUAUUUAAUAAUAAUUAUAGUUCUAGAUAAUAUAUAUAUAUUUAACAGAAUCGUCUGACAAUUUGUAAUUCUUAAAGGUUUUAACGUAAUAUGUGAAAAUAAGCUUCCGGUUAUACGACGUCAUUAGUGGCUUCCGCUUCCGGUAAGAACAGAACAGUUUAAACGAAGAUUGUAGAUGGAAACCAUGCAUACAUUCGACACAGAUCAUGGUGGGUUUCAGAGCGAUCUCUCCUGUCCUCCUUUAGGGAUCCCUCACAGUGAAGCAUGAGGAUCAGAGUACAGCUGGACUGUGGAAGUCUCUUUCUCCUACACAGUCAACAGAGAACACGUUCACACACAUCUAUGGAAAAGUUUUCCAUACUUCUGUAAUCUGGAUGAAGACACAAACCACCCUCUGAAGCUGCUACCAGAGUAUGUCUCUGUGGGUGUAGAACUUUUUAUUUUUCAAUAUUUACCUCCAGAAUUGACUUCAGUUUACUCUUUUUUUUGUGUACAUUUUCUGGGGCCAUCUGAAAUCGUCAAGUGUCUAAUUUUAUAUGCAAAACUUGUGCAGCCACAUACUGUAGUUUUAGGUUCCUCAGCUGUUAAUCCAAAACUGUUUCUGUUCAGAUAAAAGUUUGCUAAUUUCCCUUCA
Molecule: long non-coding RNA, 660 nt
Organism: Salvelinus fontinalis (brook trout)
Lineage: Eukaryota; Metazoa; Chordata; Actinopteri; Salmoniformes; Salmonidae
Exons: 2
Source: RefSeq, a predicted model, not a curated record